This 73-nucleotide transfer RNA is filed under the name Anaerolineales bacterium. RNAcentral describes it as "tRNA-Met". It matches the Rfam family "tRNA". From Rfam's summary of the family: Transfer RNA (tRNA) molecules are approximately 80 nucleotides in length. Their secondary structure includes four short double-helical elements and three loops (D, anti-codon, and T loops). The record is from RNAcentral. Lineage: Bacteria; Bacillati; Chloroflexota; Anaerolineae; Anaerolineales.
GGCGAGGUAGCUCAAACGGCAGAGCAGGGGACUCAUAAGCCCUUGGUUAUCGGUUCAAGUCCGAUCCUCGCCA